UUCAGGUUUGUGACUGAAGGCCUUGUUUUGAGGGUGUUUUGCAGACCAGUGCUUGUCGGCCUGGGGAUUUUCCAGAAAAACUGUAGACUGCCCCCUUAAGGUUUAGGUCUGAGAGUGUAUGCCAGAGUGUCUGCCUGUGCUAACCCUGCUGUGGUUCUGACGAAUUGACUGUCCCUGGCUUCCUUGUCUGUCAGCCGUACCAGUCGUUUAGAAGCUUUCGGCGCCUCGGAACUUGCACUGGAAACUCCAGGUUGUGACUGAAGGCCUUGUUUUGAGGGUGUUUUGCAGACCAGUGCUUGUCGGCCUGGGGAUUUUCCAGAAAAACUGUAGACUGCCCCCUUAAGGUUUAGGUCUGAGAGUGUAUGCCAGAGUGUCUGCCUGUGCUAACCCUGCUGUGGUUCUGACGAAUUGACUGUCCCUGGCUUCCUUGUCUGUCAGCCGUACCAGUCGUUUAGAAGCUUUCGGCGCCUCGGAACUUGCACUGGAAACUCCAGGUUGUGACUGAAGGCCUUGUUUUGAGGGUGUUUUGCAGACCAGUGCUUGUCGGCCUGGGGAUUUUCCAGAAAAACUGUAGACUGCCCCCUUAAGGUUUAGGUCUGAGAGUGUAUGCCAGAGUGUCUGCCUGUGCUAACCCUGCUGUGGUUCUGACGAAUUGACUGUCCCUGGCUUCCUUGUCUGUCAGCCGUACCAGUCGUUUAGAAGCUUUCGGCGCCUCGGAACUUGCACUGGAAACUCCAGGUUGUGACUGAAGGCCUUGUUUUGAGGGUGUUUUGCAGACCAGUGCUUGUCGGCCUGGGGAUUUUCCAGAAAAACUGUAGACUGCCCCCUUAUCACUUACU
Molecule: long non-coding RNA, 839 nt
Organism: Dreissena polymorpha
Lineage: Eukaryota; Metazoa; Mollusca; Bivalvia; Myida; Dreissenidae
Exons: 7
Source: RefSeq, a predicted model, not a curated record